Long non-coding RNA from Gadus macrocephalus (Pacific cod), 861 nucleotides. RefSeq lists it as uncharacterized. Lineage: Eukaryota; Metazoa; Chordata; Actinopteri; Gadiformes; Gadidae. The transcript has 2 exons. The record is from RefSeq and is a predicted model, not a curated record.
UAUGAAAAACAAGCAUACUACAUCGCAGAAAGUGCUCUGAAUAUUUACAAUUUACAAUUUGACCUGACGAGCUGGCUAUCGCCUUGCAUGGUUGACUCUGCCGUCUGUGUGGCAAUGUGUGUAUUAAACGAUGUAAGUCGCUUUGGAUAAAAGCAUCUGCUAAAUGCCCUAAUUGUAAAUUGGAAUAUUUAAGUUCUAGGCUUGUUUUAUUUGAGACCUUAAAACAUGGCUCAAACUUACAAAACAUUGAGUACAACUUCUGUAGCUUUACAAAAAGAACCUGCUAAAACUUCUGUAAAAAUAAAUAAAUAAAAUAUAUAUAAAUAAAUGUUACUGUUUUACAGAGGAAGCUUUUCAAAAGUGUAACAAAAAAGUGCAAUCUUACAACUGUAAAGUUGAAUCAACGCAUUAAAUGAAACUAUAACAGUCCACUUUGAAAAUGAAAACUAACUGCAGCCUCUAACACUAGCCAAUCAUUCCUCAUCCUCCAUCCCCUCUCCCUCAACGUCCAUCUCUUUAACCAUCCUUGCAUGUUUGGCUGCGGCAAAGUGGUUUUCCAGCGUCGACUUCCGCCUGUGGUCCAACACGCAGUUGAAACUGCUUUGCACAGUCUUUUGCAAUUAUCUUUGUUGGCAAAUGAGACCGCUUCAUCUUGCCUUCGUCGCGGGGUUUGCGAUGACGUUCACGUCGCGUAAUUACGUCACUUCAUGACGUUCCCUGGCAACAGGGGGAAAUGGCUGCUUUUUUCGCGGAAAUUGGCAAUUUAUGCGGUGAAAGUGCGGCAUAUUUGAAAAAAUGCGGCCCCCGCAUGAAUAUGCAGACUUAGGCUGAUUAUGCGUUGAAUUAUGCGAUCGCAUAAUC